AUUCGCUGGAUGAGUGUGGGGCAUUGGAUUGAGUUCAUUCAAUUUGAGCCCUACAUUCAUCAAGGGAUUCGU
This is a microRNA precursor of Nicotiana attenuata, 72 nucleotides long. It matches the Rfam family "MIR6151 microRNA precursor family". The record is from Rfam. Lineage: Eukaryota; Viridiplantae; Streptophyta; Magnoliopsida; Solanales; Solanaceae.